RNAcentral lists this ribosomal RNA (389 nucleotides) under Barilius bakeri (Malabar baril). RNAcentral's name for it is "partial 12S ribosomal RNA". It matches the Rfam family "Bacterial small subunit ribosomal RNA", at positions 794 to 1384 of the family's 1533-position model. The record is from RNAcentral. Lineage: Eukaryota; Metazoa; Chordata; Actinopteri; Cypriniformes; Danionidae.
GCUUAGCCGUAAACCAAGACAUAUAAUUACAACAAUGCCCGCCUGGACACUACAAGCACUAGCUUAAAAUCCAAAGGACCUGACGGUGUCUUAGAUCCCCCUAGAGGAGCCUGUUCUAGAACCGAUUAUCCCCGUUAAACCUCACCAUUUCUUGUUAAACCAGCCUAUAUACCGCCGUCGCCAGCUUACCCUGUGAAGGUAAAAAAGUAAGCGAAAGGGGUACAACCCAAAACGUCAGGUCGAGGUGUAGCACAUGAAGUGGGAAGAAAUGGGCUACAUUUUCUAUUUCAGAAAACCACGAACGCGCAAUAUGAAACACGUGCCAGAAGGAGGAUUUAGUAGUAAAAAGGAAAUAGAGAGUCCUUUUUGAACCCGGCUCUAAGACGCGU